RNAcentral lists this long non-coding RNA (1154 nucleotides) under Medicago truncatula (barrel medic). RNAcentral describes it as "lncRNA gene38786". Lineage: Eukaryota; Viridiplantae; Streptophyta; Magnoliopsida; Fabales; Fabaceae. The record is from RNAcentral.
GGGAAAGCAAAAUUACCCGACCCAUCUCUUCAAUGUGUAAGAUUCAGGCACCAACUUUGAAUUCUUAGCAACAGAAUCACAAUUCUCAGAAAAAUUCCCAAUUUGAUUUCGACAUUUUCUCAAUCCAGGACCAUCAUCAAUUUUCCCAAUCAAAUUCAAAUCAAUCCCUAAUCUCUCCAACUCAUUACUCCCAAUUCUCCUCCUCUUCAACACCGUCCUCUCACAAUCAACCUCAAUUGAACUUCUCUUCCGUCUCCGGCGCGUGUAAACAAACAAAAGCGGCGGUUUAGGAUAAUCCUCCACAGAAAACAACGUCAUCUUCGACAAGGUUUUUUCAAUUUCAAUCGGGGAAUCAUCGAUUUCACCAUUACUGAACUGAAUCUCGCUGUCUUCGUUGUUGUUGUUGGAGAGUUUUCGUGCUUUAACUUUUUUGGACAUGACAUUGGAUGAACCGCUACAAGGUGACGUAGCGGAGUAGAGAUGAUCGAGAGGAAGGUAACGAAUGGGAGUUCCGUCGGUUUCUUCGGUGGCGUUGGCGACAAUUCCUCCAUUGUUGGAUUCGGGUUGUGGAGGAAGCGCCAUUGAAGAAGAAGAAGAAGAAGAAGAAGAAGAAGAAGAUGAAAGAGGAAUUCGAGAAUUUUAGGGUUUUGAAGUUUCUGAGAGAGAAAGAGAGAAGAUGAAAAAGUGUUCGUAAACUGUUUGAGAAAAUGUUUGUGAAAGUUUUUUCACUAUAAAUUCUACAAAUGAAAUAUAUUUCCCGCCGUUGGAUCUGUCUCUCUCUCUCUUGUUGUUCAAAGGGAAAGAUGAGAGAGAGAAUGUGAAAAAUAAUGUGCUGUUAAAUCAACAAUUAUUAUCAGAAGAAGAUAUAAAGUGUGUGUUUAUAUAGGUGUGAGAUCAAAUAUGAGCAUGACAAAACAUCAGUUUUGCUGCAGAAGGCAGAAAGGGGGGAUAGAGCCACUAGAGGAUUGGAUAUGGAGUUUUAAUGGUUUGAUAUUGCAGUGUAUGUUUGGAACCACGGUGAGAGUUAUGGUUUAUGGCUUUUUUUUUAACUACGUUAGAGGGAGUUUAAUCUGUAUUUGAAAGUUAAAGUUGUGAUUUGUAACUUCGUUUUGCAACCAUCGAGAAUGAAACAUAUGUAAAGUGAAUGAUCUGAG